This 58-nucleotide transfer RNA is filed under the name Salmo salar (Atlantic salmon). It matches the Rfam family "tRNA", at positions 8 to 63 of the family's 71-position model. From Rfam's summary of the family: Transfer RNA (tRNA) molecules are approximately 80 nucleotides in length. Their secondary structure includes four short double-helical elements and three loops (D, anti-codon, and T loops). The record is from Rfam by way of RNAcentral. Lineage: Eukaryota; Metazoa; Chordata; Actinopteri; Salmoniformes; Salmonidae.
UGGCUCAGUUGGCAGAGCAUGGUGUUUGCAACGCCAGGGUUGUGGGUUCAUUUCCCAC